Molecule: transfer RNA, 77 nt
Filed under: Caldicoprobacter sp.
Lineage: Bacteria; Bacillati; Bacillota; Clostridia; Caldicoprobacterales; Caldicoprobacteraceae
Also listed under: 1 other name
Description: tRNA-Arg
Rfam family: tRNA
About the family: Transfer RNA (tRNA) molecules are approximately 80 nucleotides in length. Their secondary structure includes four short double-helical elements and three loops (D, anti-codon, and T loops).
Source: RNAcentral
GCGCCCAUAGCUCAGCUGGAUAGAGUGACAGACUUCGAAUCUGGAGGUCGGGGGUUCGAGUCCCUCUGGGCGCACCA